RNAcentral lists this unclassified non-coding RNA (213 nucleotides) under rhizosphere metagenome. Its description in RNAcentral is "partial ribosomal RNA internal transcribed spacer region". The record is from RNAcentral.
UAUCGGUAGUUUACUGCCGUUUGAAGGGGGUGGAAACUUUCUAGGCCUGCCUAGGGACGAGUACAUCCUGUUCUUAACCCUUGACUUUUUGCGCACUCAUGUUUCCUUGGUGGGUUCGCCCACCACUAGGACAAACAUAAACCUUUUGUAAUUGCAAUCAGCGUCAGUAACAAAUUAAUAAUUACAACUUUCAACAACGGAUCUCUUGGUUCU